Long non-coding RNA from Tachyglossus aculeatus (Australian echidna), 205 nucleotides. RefSeq lists it as uncharacterized. NCBI's taxonomy places the organism in Eukaryota, Metazoa, Chordata, Mammalia, Monotremata, Tachyglossidae. The transcript has 3 exons. The record is from RefSeq and is a predicted model, not a curated record.
AGAGAAGUUAAAUGACUUGCCCAGAGUCACACAGCCAUCGGUCCAGCAGCAUCCCAGGAGUCCCCUGAAUCCUGCCGCUUGCCCGUCGGCUCGCUGUUGUGGCCCGCUCGAGAUGCGAGAACUAAAACUUCAGUCAAUCAAUGAAACUCCCAGAGAUCCUUAUCCUUUUCCCUUCCCUGCUGGUUGGAGGAAAGCAAACCGAGCC